GGUUAAGCGACUAAGCGUACACGGUGGAUGCCCUGGCAGUCAGAGGCGAUGAAGGACGUGCUAAUCUGCGAUAAGCGUCGGUAAGGUGAUAUGAACCGUUAUAACCGGCGAUUUCCGAAUGGGGAAACCCAGUGUGAUUCGUCACACUAUCAUUAACUGAAUCCAUAGGUUAAUGAGGCGAACCGGGGGAACUGAAACAUCUAAGUACCCCGAGGAAAAGAAAUCAACCGAGAUUCCCCCAGUAGCGGCGAGCGAACGGGGAGCAGCCCAGAGCCUGAAUCAGUGUGUGUGUUAGU
This 296-nucleotide ribosomal RNA is filed under the name Escherichia coli. Its description in RNAcentral is "partial 23S ribosomal RNA". It matches the Rfam family "Bacterial large subunit ribosomal RNA", at positions 1 to 301 of the family's 2925-position model. The record is from RNAcentral. Lineage: Bacteria; Pseudomonadati; Pseudomonadota; Gammaproteobacteria; Enterobacterales; Enterobacteriaceae.